This 435-nucleotide long non-coding RNA is filed under the name Citrus sinensis (sweet orange). RNAcentral's name for it is "long non-coding RNA (CSIN_LNC003471)". Lineage: Eukaryota; Viridiplantae; Streptophyta; Magnoliopsida; Sapindales; Rutaceae. The record is from RNAcentral.
GUACAAUAAAACUACAAAAAUUACAAAUCUAAAAAUUAAAAUGGAAAAUGGCAACCAUGAUUAAACAUCUCCAUUCUCCACAUGACAAACAAGGCUAAUAAUCCAUCUCCAAUACCAUCAAUACUCAACACAACAUCUCCAAAUUAACAAUAAUUAACCACCACCAUAGCGAAAUAUCGAGCAACAACGGAUAGAAAAUGAAGCAAAUCAGUCCAUGCUGCAAAAAAAUUAAAAACUUAAUUAAAAUUUAGUUGAAUCACUCAAUAUGCCUUAACAAUUCUCAAUAUUACUAGUAGCAUAUUUGUAUUAUGACUACGCCUUAAUUGUAAAUGAUUAUUAAGUUUGAUCCAAAUCGAUAUACAUAAUUACAUACUUACUGUUGCAGCAAAAAAUCUUCAUAUUAGAACACUUGGAUGUUCCGCUUGUGUCGAUUUA